GUGAGGAAUUUUCCGCAAUGGGCGAAAGCCUGACGGAGCAAUGCCGCGUGAAGGAUGAAGGCCUAUGGGUUGUAAACUUCUUUUCUCAGAAAAGAAUUAUGACGGUAUCUGAGGAAUAAGCAUCGGCUAACUCUGUGCCAGCAGCCGCGGUAAGACAGAGGAUGCAAGCGUUAUCCGGAAUGAUUGGGCGUAAAGCGUCUGUAGGUUGUUUAAAAAGUAUUCUGUCAAAGAUUAGGGCUUAACCCUAGAUAGGCAGAAUAAACUUUUAAGCUAGAGUUUGGUAGAGGCAGAGGGAAUUCCCGGUGGAGCGGUGAAAUGCGUAGAUAUCGGGAGGAACACCAAAGGCCAAGGCACUCUGCUGGGCCAAUACUAACACUGAGAGACGAAAGCGAGGGGAGCAAAUGGGAUUAGAAACCCUAGUAGUCC
This 426-nucleotide ribosomal RNA is filed under the name uncultured bacterium. RNAcentral's name for it is "partial 16S ribosomal RNA". It matches the Rfam family "Bacterial small subunit ribosomal RNA", at positions 354 to 796 of the family's 1533-position model. The record is from RNAcentral.